UGGGGAAUCUUAGACAAUGGGCGCAAGCCUGAUCUAGCCAUGCCGCGUGAGUGACGAAGGUCUUAGGAUCGUAAAGCUCUUUCGCCAGAGAUGAUAAUGACAGUAUCUGGUAAAGAAACCCCGGCUAACUCC
This 132-nucleotide ribosomal RNA is filed under the name uncultured Alphaproteobacteria bacterium. Its description in RNAcentral is "partial 16S ribosomal RNA". It matches the Rfam family "Bacterial small subunit ribosomal RNA", at positions 355 to 504 of the family's 1533-position model. Lineage: Bacteria; Pseudomonadati; Pseudomonadota; Alphaproteobacteria. The record is from RNAcentral.